RNAcentral lists this ribosomal RNA (164 nucleotides) under uncultured eukaryote. Its description in RNAcentral is "partial 18S ribosomal RNA". It matches the Rfam family "Eukaryotic small subunit ribosomal RNA", at positions 1299 to 1458 of the family's 1831-position model. The record is from RNAcentral.
UCGUGGAGUGAUCUGUCUGGUUUAUUCCGAUAACGAACGAGACCUUAACCUGCUAAAUAGUUACACGAGCUAUCUUUGGUUCCCUUGUGGUCCCAAAUGGCUCUGUGGCAAACUUCUUAGAGGGACUAUUCGUGUCUAGCGAAUGGAAGUUUGAGGCAAUAACA